GGGCCCAUAGCUCAGCCGGUUAGAGCGGCCGGCCCAUAACCGGAUGGUCCCAGGUUCGAAUCCUGGUGGGCCCA
This 74-nucleotide transfer RNA is filed under the name Bacillota bacterium. RNAcentral's name for it is "tRNA-Ile". It matches the Rfam family "tRNA". From Rfam's summary of the family: Transfer RNA (tRNA) molecules are approximately 80 nucleotides in length. Their secondary structure includes four short double-helical elements and three loops (D, anti-codon, and T loops). The record is from RNAcentral. Lineage: Bacteria; Bacillati; Bacillota.